This 1518-nucleotide small RNA is filed under the name uncultured Arctic sea ice bacterium. Its description in RNAcentral is "bacterial SSU rRNA". The stretch from base 1 to 994 matches the Rfam family "Bacterial small subunit ribosomal RNA", at positions 528 to 1533 of the family's 1533-position model. The record is from RNAcentral.
AAGGGACCUAGCGUAGUUCGGAAUUACUGGGCUUAAAGAGUUCGUAGGUGGUUGAAAAAGUUGGUGGUGAAAUCCCAGAGCUUAACUCUGGAACUGCCAUCAAAACUUUUCAGCUAGAGUAUGAUAGAGGAAAGCAGAAUUUCUAGUGUAGAGGUGAAAUUCGUAGAUAUUAGAAAGAAUACCAAUUGCGAAGGCAGCUUUCUGGAUCAUUACUGACACUGAGGAACGAAAGCAUGGGUAGCGAAGAGGAUUGGAUACCCUCGUAGUCCAUGCCGUAAACGAUGUGUGUUAGACGUUGGAAAUUUAUUUUCAGUGUCGCAGGGAAACCGAUAAACACACCGCCUGGGGAGUACGACCGCAAGGUUAAAACUCAAAUGAAUUGACGGGGACCCGCACAAGUAGUGGAGCAUGUGGUUUAAUUCGAAGAUACGCGCAGAACCUUACCAACACUUGACAUGUUCGUCGCGACUCUAAGAGAUUAGAGUUUUCGGUUCGGCCGGACGAAACACAGGUGCUGCAUGGCUGUCGUCAGCUCGUGUCGUGAGAUGUUGGGUUAAGUCCCGCAACGAGCGCAACCCUCACUUUUAGUUGCCAUCAUUAAGUUGGGCACUCUGAAAGAACUGCCAGUGAUAAGCUGGAGGAAGGUGGGGAUGACGUCAAGUCCUCAUGGCCCUUACGUGUUGGGCUACACACGAGCUACAAUGGCAUCUACAACAGGAAGCAAAACGGCAACGUUAAGCAAAUCCCGAAAAGAUGCCUCAGUUCGGAUUGCACUCUGCAACUCGAGUGCAUGAAGCUGGAAUUACUAGUAAUCGUGGAUCAGCGUGCCACGGUGAAUGCGUUCCCGGGUCUUGUACACACCGCCCGUCACACCAUGGGAGUUGGUUCUACCUUAAGGCAAGGUUUUAAACCCUUGACCACGGUAUAGUCAGCGACUGGGGUGAAGUCGUAACAAGGUAGCCGCAGGGGAACCUGCGGCUGGAUUACCUCCUUUCUAAGGAUGAGUGAAAGUAAAAUUUCACUCUAAAUAAUAUACAUCGGUAAUGUUGACCGUCCUCAUUUCUCUUCUUAAAGUAAUGUUUCCUUCUUGUAGGGCCGGUAGCUCAGUUGGUUAGAGCACACCCUUGAUAAGGGUGGGGUCGAAAGUUCGAGUCUUUCUCGGCCCACCAAAAACCUAAAUGGGGGAUUAGCUCAUCUGGGAGAGCGCCUGAUUUGCAUUCAGGAGGUAGCAGGUUCGAUCCCUGUAUCCUCCACCAGGAAACAUUUAGUUAUUAAAACUGUAAAUAAAAAUAAUUUAUAUCAAUAUCUAUAUCCGAACAUUAAAAGUUAUUAUUUAAUGUUCAAAAUAAAAAUUUGAUCACAACAUAGAUUAAUUUUCUGUUAAAAGAAUUUUUUUCUGUGCAUAAAUCAAGCGUUUAAGGGCGUGUAGUGGAUGCCUUGGCACUGAAAGCCGAUGAAGGACGUGAUAUACUGCGAUAAGUUUCGGGGAGCUGUAUGUAAGCUUUGAUCCGAAAAUUU